AUCAAAUCAAACAUCGUAUAAGAAAUAAUGACAACAAAAUUAAUGUAAGCAUUACUAAUACUCCAUAUGUCAAAAAGUUAAUGUAGCCUCACACACAUUUUGUUAGUUAUGCCUCUACCAUGAUAAAAAAUUUCGGAAGUCACCACAAAAAUUUAGUGAUUGAGUUGUUUAGGGUUAGCUCUUCCAUAUUAAGCAUUACCUUUUUCUCCUAACUCGCAAACAACCUCGUCUAAUUUCUUAUCAAGAUCU
RNAcentral lists this long non-coding RNA (249 nucleotides) under Solanum tuberosum (potato). RNAcentral describes it as "long non-coding RNA (STUB_LNC009547)". The record is from RNAcentral. Lineage: Eukaryota; Viridiplantae; Streptophyta; Magnoliopsida; Solanales; Solanaceae.